GAUGAACGCUAGCUACAGGCUUAACACAUGCAAGUCGAGGGGCAGCAUGUCGGUUGCUUGCAACCGAUGAUGGCGACCGGCGCACGGGUGAGUAACGCGUAUCCAACCUUCCCGUCACUCAGGGAUAGCCCGCCGAAAGGCGAAUUAAUACCUGAUGAUCUCCUUUGCGGACAUCUAAUGACGGAGUAAAGGUUUUUCCGGUGACGGAUGGGGAUGCGUCUGAUUAGCUUGCCGGCGGGGUAACGGCCCACCGGGGCAACGAUCAGUAGGGGUUCUGAGAGGAAGGUCCCCCACAUUGGUACUGAGACACGGACCAAACUCC
This 322-nucleotide ribosomal RNA is filed under the name uncultured Prevotella sp. Its description in RNAcentral is "bacterial SSU rRNA". It matches the Rfam family "Bacterial small subunit ribosomal RNA", at positions 28 to 339 of the family's 1533-position model. Lineage: Bacteria; Pseudomonadati; Bacteroidota; Bacteroidia; Bacteroidales; Prevotellaceae. The record is from RNAcentral.